RNAcentral lists this ribosomal RNA (428 nucleotides) under uncultured archaeon. Its description in RNAcentral is "bacterial SSU rRNA". It matches the Rfam family "Archaeal small subunit ribosomal RNA", at positions 474 to 903 of the family's 1478-position model. The record is from RNAcentral.
CACCAGCCCCUCGAGUGGUGGGGAUGAUUAUUUGGCCUAAAGCGUCCGUAGCCGGCCGGGUAAGUUUCCCGUUAAAUCCAGCGUCUCAAGCGUUGGACUGCGGGAAAUACUGCCUGGCUAGAGAGUGGGAGAGGUCAGCGAUAUUCUGGGGGUAGGGGCGAAAUCCUUUGAUCCCCGGAGGACCACCAGUGGCGAAGGCUGCUGACUAGAACACGUCUGACGGUCAGGGACGAAAGCUGGGGUAGCGAACCGGAUUAGAUACCCGGGUAGUCCCAGCCGUAAACGAUGCAUGCUAGGUGUUGGGUUGGCCACGAGCCACCCCAGUGCCGCAGGGAAGCCGUUAAGCAUGCCGCCUGGGAAGUACGAUCGCAAGAUUGAAACUUAAAGGAAUUGGCGGGGAGCACCACCAGGCGUGAAGCCUGCGGUUU